Molecule: transfer RNA, 73 nt
Filed under: Haliotis rubra (blacklip abalone)
Lineage: Eukaryota; Metazoa; Mollusca; Gastropoda; Lepetellida; Haliotidae
Description: tRNA-Ser
Rfam family: tRNA
About the family: Transfer RNA (tRNA) molecules are approximately 80 nucleotides in length. Their secondary structure includes four short double-helical elements and three loops (D, anti-codon, and T loops).
Source: RNAcentral
GCCUCGGUGGUGCAGUGGUUAGAGCGUCCGCCCGGAGAGCGGAAGGUCGCGGGUUCGAUCCCCGGCCGCGGCA